This 109-nucleotide small RNA is filed under the name Marmota monax (woodchuck). The record is from RNAcentral. Lineage: Eukaryota; Metazoa; Chordata; Mammalia; Rodentia; Sciuridae.
GCUGGGUGUGAUGGUGCACACACCUGUAAUCCCAGCAGCUCAGGAAGCUGAGGCAGGAGGAUCGCAAGUUCAAAGCCAGCCUCAGAAACUUAGCAAGACUCUGUCUUAA